Molecule: ribosomal RNA, 303 nt
Filed under: uncultured bacterium
Lineage: Bacteria
Description: partial 16S ribosomal RNA
Rfam family: Bacterial small subunit ribosomal RNA
Source: RNAcentral
AGCAGUCGCCGCGGGAAUACGUAGGCGGCAAGCGUUGUCCGGAAUUAUUGGGCGUAAAGCGCGCGCAGGCGGCCUAUCCAGUCUGUCUUAAAAGUUCGGGGCUCAACCCCGUGAUGGGACGGAAACUAGUAGGCUAGAGUAUCGGAGAGGAAAGCGGAAUUCCUAGUGUAGCGGUGAAAUGCAUAGAUAUUAGGAAGAACACCAGUGGCGAAGGCGACUUUCUGGACUGCAACUGACGCUGAGGCUCGAAAGCCAGGGGAGCGAACGGGAUUAGAUACCCCUGUAGUCCCUGUCUCUUAUACC